GAUAUCCACAAGAUUUAUUAAACAAUCCAAAAAAAAAAAAAAGAGGAAUAUUUGAGAAGGCAUAAGUAGGAAGAGAAAGGGGGCAGGAGAGGACAUAAGAAGAUAUAAAGCGGCGAGUUUUCCAUAGCCGGCUACAGAGUUGCUUAGGAACCCACAUAGACUACGAAACUAUGGACAAAUACUACUCCCUGGAUUAGCCCAUCACAGUAUAUCAUUGCCUUUUGUCACCAGAAGUGGAAACAGAAUUGAGUUUGCUCCAUGGAACGCACUCCUGUAGGUUUCUGGGACUCAGUUUUCUCAUCUGUAAAAUGAAGUGUUGGACUUCAUCAGAUCACGUUUAAAAUUCUUUUCAGCUGCGGGGAUUGGGAGCAAGCCUACACGAACCACCAGGAAGAGCUUGCAUGUUUGACUUUUAAGUCUCAUCUGUGAAUUCCAGUCUCAUCAUCAGAAUCUCUCCAGCAUGUUUCCCCUUUCCCUUUGUGCCUCUCACUCUUCCUGUCUGUCCACAGUUCAAAAGAUUUCUCCUGUCCGAAUGAUUUAUCCUUCUUGAUUUAUGCUGUCAGAUAGGUCUGUUUAGAUAGAGUCCAGACACACUCAUGUGUUGCUUAUGCAUUCUAACCAAGAGAGACAACUUCAAAUGGAUCAAGGUUAUCUAAAAGAAAGAAUGAGAACUUUAGUCAAAGAUCAGAAGGAAAGAAUAAGAUGAUAAAAUAAACUUGGGAUAAAGAAUUCUAAGGUUUAAACCAAACCAAGGCAGGAAGCAUGUUUUUCUUUCACAAAAUCAGACGAAUUCUUCUGGGAAGGGUUCUUUGAGCAGCAAGGAGUUGCAGUUGCAGACAUGCAGAUCUUUGACGUGGCCACUUGGAGCUUGUCAAAGAGAAACAAUCUGAAAAUUCACUCUGGUCCCUCUGGCUCCCCUGGUUCGCUACACCCUGAGAAAGAAAAAGAUUACACAAGUGCCACCUUUUGGACAAAACGGCAAUAGCAACAAAGAGGUCAGCUAUUAAAGAGUAUUAAUUCUAGCUCAUUCUUAAAGGCAAUAAUGAAGAGGUAAAUCAUUUUAAUCUUAUCAUAAUGCUUGGAAGUUAUAUUCUACAUAGGUCUAGAAAUCUUCCCACUUUAAAAAUAUAAGUAAAGACUGAAUUAAAACCUGAA
This is a long non-coding RNA of Mustela lutreola (European mink), 1155 nucleotides long. RefSeq lists it as uncharacterized. Lineage: Eukaryota; Metazoa; Chordata; Mammalia; Carnivora; Mustelidae. The record is from RefSeq and is a predicted model, not a curated record. The transcript has 2 exons.